This 253-nucleotide ribosomal RNA is filed under the name uncultured bacterium. RNAcentral describes it as "partial 16S ribosomal RNA". It matches the Rfam family "Bacterial small subunit ribosomal RNA", at positions 524 to 776 of the family's 1533-position model. The record is from RNAcentral.
UACGUAGGGUGCAAGCGUUAAUCGGAAUUACUGGGCGUAAAGCGUGCGCAGGCGGUUCUAUAAGACAGAUGUGAAAUCCCCGGGCUCAACCUGGGAACUGCAUUUGUGACUGUAGAGCUGGAGUGCGGCAGAGGGGGAUGGAAUUCCGCGUGUAGCAGUGAAAUGCGUAGAUAUGCGGAGGAACACCGAUGGCGAAGGCAAUCCCCUGGGCCUGUACUGACGCUCAUGCACGAAAGCGUGGGGAGCAAACAGG